Molecule: RNA transcript, 1378 nt
Organism: Drosophila novamexicana
Lineage: Eukaryota; Metazoa; Arthropoda; Insecta; Diptera; Drosophilidae
Exons: 7
Source: RefSeq, a predicted model, not a curated record
CUCUUCCCACUCAUAUUAAUUCUUUUUAAUUUUAAUAACUUUUUUAUACAUAACAACGCAUAAAUUUUUUGUCUAUGUAUCCCAUAAGCCAUAAACCUGCCGAAUAAUGGAUGAUCGUGUCGGUACCUAUCAACGCACACGUCGGAAAUUCGCGGCCAUUGUCUAUCUGAUAACCUUCUGCUGGCUCCUGCUGGGUCUGGCCCAGUGGCUGGUCGUGCUUUUAGUUUCUUCGGCCAAAAAUGCGUUCUUAAGCUAUCAUUAUAUGAGUAUCGUAUGCUUCACACUAUCAAUUACAUUGGCGCUUCUCUUCAUAUUCUUCGAGGCAGCUCGCUUUGUCACAUGUGUGAAUUGGCUUAUAACCAUUCUAAUCGUACAGUUCGCCGUUAUGGGCCUGUUUGCGCUGGUCGCCAACUCUUCUUGGCCGGAACUAAUCAUGUGGUUUGCGAUUUGCGUCCUGCUGCUCUUUAUCUUCGUACUAUUGGGCUCUGUAAUACCGCACGAUCUGACGCUGGAUGUUGUUAUAUUGUUUGUGAUAUCCUUUGUCUUCCUCAUUGUGUCGGUCUUCCUGAUUAUGCUGCACCUACUGACGCUUACAGCUCACUCCUUUGUCCUCUACCAGCUAUUUGUUAGCGUCAUCAUUUUGACGUUUGUCAUGUACCACGCGCAGACUAUUAACGGCGGCCGCUUUGCGGAAAUGCGGGUCAAUGAUUAUCUUCUGGCCUCGAUCAUACUCUUCUACGAUUUUAGCGUCAUGUUUCUCUUGACAUUCUAUAUGCAGAUCCACUAUAAGAUCGCAACGAUUAGUCCGGCCGGAACAACGACGAAGGCUCCAGACGACAGAAACACCACAGCAAGCAACAACUCAACCCAGGUCCGAUUUUGUCCGAUAUCUAGCCGAAAUAACGUCCGAUUUUGGAAUGAUGAACCAUGUUGGACGCGUACUGAUCGCUAUUGUCGAAUGGCAUUACGUUUUUGGUUAGUCUUUUUAAAGGACAUUACAUUGAACACCUUAAGGACCAUUCUGAUGUCCUUUGGACAACAUGUAGUCCUUGUCCUGCCAACUUAGAGUAUGUAAUCAGAAGGACGAAAAUCCUUCAAGGAGCUGAGGAAAGGAGAUUUUUGGCGGGAGAGAUAAAUCGCUGUAGCUCGACCGUAUCCUUGCCAAUCAUGAUGUCCAUUGGCCAACCAGCCAUAACACGGCCGUAUCCUUGCGGAUCCUGACAAGUCGUGUGUCAAAUAAUUCGUAUGAACAAGGACCAAAAAGCUGUUCAAAGGACAACAAAAUCGUCCUUGCCGUUUCCGAUAUAUGGCUAAUUUUCUAAAAAGGACAUUUUUCAAUAAGCCACAACUCAGCCAAAUCCUUAAGGAUAUCGGAAGG